UGGCGGGAAUCUCCGCGGGCGGUGGGCCCCACACGGCCUUUCCAGGCAUGCGCCGCCCGGCUGUUGGAACCCCGCGAGUAGGAGUAGAACUUGGCCACCUCUCCUGGGCGGUACUGAGCGGGACAAAGGUCUUUGGACUUGGGAGGACAGAGUUCAAAUACUGAGCACCAGUCAGUGCCUGAGGAGGGAGCGGAUGCAAGUGUGUUGUUUCAAAAAAUUGUUGAGUUCCUGUGUGGCCGAAUUUCAGCUACAAUCUCCCCUAAAAGAAAAACUAUUGAGGGCCAAUUGAAGUGCAAAAUUCAAUUUUGUGAGUGAAGACAAACUCAGGAAUCAUUCUUGACACAGACUUAAGCCGCUUAAGUCCAGUUCUUUUACAUCCCAAAUAGCUCCUUCCAUUUUCUCCACUACCUUCACCUAGAGGAAGCCACCAUCUCUCUCAAGUCUGUUUCAGGCCUCCAGGAGAAAGGCGGGGAAAUCUAUGAUUGCAUUCAGGCAAAUACUUAAGAGUGGGAAUUGCUGAGUUUUGUGGUGAACCAGAGGUUUCAGCUGCUCUGCAAAGUUCCUCAUGUCAUCAGAUACCAUGUCCUGCCCAGCUGGUGCAACAACACUUAAUUCCACAAGAAAGGAGAGUGACAAGGCCUCAGUGCUGUCUGUGUUCC
This is a long non-coding RNA of Pteropus alecto (black flying fox), 659 nucleotides long. RefSeq lists it as uncharacterized. The record is from RefSeq and is a predicted model, not a curated record. Lineage: Eukaryota; Metazoa; Chordata; Mammalia; Chiroptera; Pteropodidae. The transcript is spliced from 3 exons.